GGUUUGAGUAAAAAGAGUGACGAAUGGAGAACUAGGGUGCACUAAAGAGGACGGAGCCCCCCGAAAUGGCGGAGGAGAGACUUUGAAGCCCUAAUGUCCCGCGCGGCAACGCAGCGGGGGGGCCAGGGGAGCGAAACAUCCCAGUACCGGGCCCCCCACCCCCCCCUCCCACCCCAUAGUGGGUGUUUAGGGGGGGGCACAGUAAAAAUCAAACGAGAUUCCGUAAGUAGCGGCGAGCGAAAGCGGACGAGCCCUUUCCUGUAGGCCCCCCGGCCCUGGCCGGGGGGCGGGCGAGUAGUGAUGGGAAGAUGGGUGUCCACACAUCCAAGGCUUAACAAUUAGUGUCACACCGAAAGAGAGGAGUACUGUAAAGGAAAGUUGAAAGAGACUUGAAAAGACCUUGAAAUGAGUCACUUAAAGCAGUUGUAACACAACGUACCUUUUGUAUAAUGGGUCCACGAGAUAAAAUUUGGCAAACUUAAAGUGCAAUCUCACAGCCACCCCGCUGCGUUAUCGCGCGGGGAUGGCUGGGGGGAUUGUUCUUGGCCCCCUAAGGUGUAGUGAAAGCAAGGGGGGGGGAUACCCCCACCCCUCAGUCAAAUUUCCCGAAACCAAGUGAUCUAGCCAUGGGCAGUUUUUAGGAACGAACCGGUGGUUGUUGCAAAAAUCUCGGAUGACCUGUGGUUAGGGGCGAAACGCCAAUCGAACUUGGAGAUAGCUGGUUUUCUGCGAAAACUAUUGAAGUAGUGCGUGCACAGUAAUGAGUCGAAUAAUGUUAUUAUUCGAUGAGAAUGGCUUGGAAUGUGGUAAAGCCCGACCCCCCGAAGCCGGGGGAUUAACUAUGAAGAAAAAAAGCCAGAGUGGCACAGACAGACUGUGGGCGAUAAGGUCGACGGUCAAAAGGGGAGAAGCCCUAACCAGAAGUUAAAGUCAUUAAUAAAAGAUUUAGUGUAAAAGAGAUAUUGGGUUUAGACAAUGAAGAAGUAGGCUUGGAGCCAGCCACCUUUGAGAGAUGACGUAGCAGUUCACUCAAGAAAUUCUUUUAUCUCUAAAAUUAUGGUGGCUAAAGUUGAACUGAAACUCUGGGGGCGAAAUAACAAGGUGGGGUUCCCCUAGAUUAUGCAACCCUCAAGGGGGUUCUAUAAAGCUUAUGGGAACGAACCCCCCGUUAUAUUUGCCCGGUAGCAGAACGUACUGUUAAUUGUUCAGUGAGAGCCCGCACGGCAUCAGAAGUGAUAAUGUGGACAUGAGUAAAAAAUCAUAGGAUCACUCCCCCCCUGGUUUCCCAUAUUAAUUAUGGGGUUAAACAGCCCCUAAAAUCGCAGCCCCAAAGGUUGCGUUGAUGGGGGGCCAUGAGUAAUAGACGCACAAAGUGCCAGGAAAGAAUUAUUCAAGCUCUUCCCAGAAGGCAUCCUUCUGGCAAGGGUACUGUACUAAACUAACUAAAGUGGGGGAUAGUGAGGGGAUAAAUUUUCUUAAGGAACUCGGCAAAAUCCCAAUGGCCCACCAGGGCAUAUUGGAACACGGGCCUCGACUGUUUACCAAAAACAUAGCCCUCGGCCAAUAUGAAAAUAGAUGUAUAGAGGGUGAUGCCUGCCCAAUGGUUGUAUCUAAAAGCGGUUGAUAAAAGUCGACCUCGUAAGGACAAUUGAAUGGCCGCGGUAACACUGACCGUGAUAAUGUAGCGUAAUCAAUAGCCAAUUAAUUGUUGGCCAGUAUGAAUGGCGCCACGAAGGCCCCACUGUCUUAAGGAAAUUCCCAGUGAAAUUGAAUUCGUAGUGAAGAUGCUACGUCCAAUUUGUUAGACGAAAAGACCCCGUUGAGCUUUACUGGGGCACUUACACGGCCCCGGCCUUCCCGUGUUCGGGAACCGGCCGAAUUUAAAUGGGUGGUUUAGACUAUGUGGCAGCCCCCCGCCGGGGCAGAUGAAACCCCACUCCCCCAUGUCAAAGGGGCUAACCCUCCCCUUGGGGGGGACAGUGUAAGUAGGACAGUUUGGUUGGGGCGACCGCCUUUUAAAGAGUAACGAAGGUGCGCUUAAGGUGCGCAAUUAAUGACUGAAGCCUGACUGCGAGGGGGACACCCCGAGCAGACACCCCUAAGCCCGCCCGAAGGGCGGCGGUGGGGUGGGCCAUAGUGACCCGUUAAUUUAGAGUGGAAUAGUUAACGAUCAACGAAUAAAAGUUACCACGGGGAUAACAGCGUAAUAUCGUUAGAGAGUUCACAUCGACGACGAUGUUUGCGACCUCGAUGUUGAAUUGCGGCAUCCUGGGGUGCAGCCGCUCCCAAGGGUUGGUCUGUUCGUCCAUUAAAGCCGUACAUGAUUUGAGUUAAAAGCGUGGUAACACAGCUUGGUUUCUAUCUACAAAUUGAAGAAACAUCGAUAUAACUAUCUUCUAGUACGAAAGGACCGAAGGAUUAGUGAUCCUCUUAUUUUUUAUAAGUUACGAUCAACCCAUUGAUCAUCGAACCCUAGGGUUCGAUAGGUCUCUCAGCUAAUCACUGACCGCUUCUAAAGUGGGAAAGUCAUAUCGAAAUGUUUGGGCCCAUUAUAGAGGGGCUAAACCCCACCAUCACGAGUGAUGGUGUAGAAGCAGCAACGCGGCUUCCCAUCCUUUUAAAGAGCCGCCUUUAUCCUAUCGGGGUUAAAUCUGAUAGGCUCUCUAAUUAGA
RNAcentral lists this ribosomal RNA (2672 nucleotides) under Palythoa mizigama. RNAcentral's name for it is "large subunit ribosomal RNA". It matches the Rfam family "Bacterial large subunit ribosomal RNA". The record is from RNAcentral. Lineage: Eukaryota; Metazoa; Cnidaria; Anthozoa; Zoantharia; Sphenopidae.